RNAcentral lists this ribosomal RNA (429 nucleotides) under Chloroflexota bacterium. RNAcentral's name for it is "Chloroflexi bacterium partial 16S ribosomal RNA". It matches the Rfam family "Bacterial small subunit ribosomal RNA", at positions 355 to 776 of the family's 1533-position model. The record is from RNAcentral. Lineage: Bacteria; Bacillati; Chloroflexota.
UGGGGAAUAUUGCACAAUGGGCGCAAGCCUGAUGCAGCCAUGCCGCGUGUGUGAAGAAGGCCUUCGGGUUGUAAAGCACUUUCAGCGGGGAGGAAGGCGUUAAGGUUAAUAACCUUGGCGAUUGACGUUACCCGCAGAAGAAGCACCGGCUAACUCCGUGCCAGCAGCCGCGGUAAUACGGAGUGUGCAAGCGUUAAUCGGAAUUACUGGGCGUAAAGCGCACGCAGGCGGUCUGUCAAGUCGGAUGUGAAAUCCCCGGGCUCAACCUGGGAACUGCAUUCGAAACUGGCAGGCUAGAAUCUUGAAGAGGGGGGUAGAAUUCCAGGUGUAGCGGUGAAAUGCGUAGAGAUCUGGAGGAAUACCGGUGGCGAAGGCGGCCCCCUGGACAAAGAAUGACGCUCAGGUGCGAAAGCGUGGGGAGCAAACAGG